CCUACGGGUGGCUGCAGUGGGGAAUAUUGGGCAAUGGGCGCAAGCCUGACCCAGCAACGCCGCGUGAAUGAAGAAGGCUUUCGGGUUGUAAACUUCUUUUAAGCGGGAAGAGCAGAAGACGGUACCUCUUCAAUAAGCCACGGCUAACUACGUGCAAGCAGCCGCGGUAAUACGUAGGUGGCAAGCGUUAUCCGGCUUUAUUGGGUUUAAAGGGUGCGUAGGCGGACUGUUAAGUCAGCGGGAAAAGCCCGGGGCUCAACCCCGGCGAGCCGUUGAAACUGGCUGUCUUGAGAUGUCGAGAGGUGUGCGGAAUGCGCAGUGUAGCGGUGAAAUGCUUAGAGAUUGCGAAGAACUCCGAUUGCGAAGGCAGCAUACCGGCGGCGAUCUGACGCUGAGGCACGAAAGCGUGGGUAUCGAACAGGAUUAGAUACCCGAGUAGUC
RNAcentral lists this ribosomal RNA (441 nucleotides) under uncultured bacterium. RNAcentral describes it as "partial 16S ribosomal RNA". It matches the Rfam family "Bacterial small subunit ribosomal RNA", at positions 338 to 795 of the family's 1533-position model. The record is from RNAcentral.